This 334-nucleotide long non-coding RNA is filed under the name Mytilus galloprovincialis (Mediterranean mussel). Lineage: Eukaryota; Metazoa; Mollusca; Bivalvia; Mytilida; Mytilidae. The record is from RNAcentral.
GUCCAAUUUAAGUAUUUUCUAUAAUUCUCUGACGUUUUAACCUGAGAUUUACAAUAAUUUAGUAUUACAAAAACUAGCGACAGCCUUACUAAACCCGAUUUUUUAAACAAUCUCUCAAAAACAAAUAUGUUGAUAAAAGUAAAAUGUGCUUUUGCGCAAAGUUCUGGCUCAUAUUGAUUAAGGAAAAAGGAUAAAUAAAUGAACCCUUUUGGUUCAAUAUUACAUGUAAACGAUUACUCAAACGUGUGAGUACAAUGUAGUUUUGUCAAUAUAAACUCAUCAGAUUUAUUUGAUGAACUCAUGAUGAAAACACCACUGACAUGUGUGUACUAUU